This 237-nucleotide long non-coding RNA is filed under the name Elaeis guineensis (African oil palm). Its description in RNAcentral is "long non-coding RNA (EGUI_LNC072519)". The record is from RNAcentral. Lineage: Eukaryota; Viridiplantae; Streptophyta; Magnoliopsida; Arecales; Arecaceae.
GUUAUUGCAUCAGAUAAAUCUUAGAUCAAAGAUGUCAAGGUCCACAAGCCCAUUUCUUACAAUAAACUCCCUGAAUUUUCUAGUCUCAAUAUCAUUUAAAAAAGGUCUACCAUUUCUCUUCUUCUAUGGCCUAUCAAUACAAUUGCAGUCACCUGGAACCAGAGAUGGAAGGUCUAGAACAACCAAUCAAAACACCUCCUCCUACUACAUCCUUUGCUCUCUAUACUCAAUGCUAGC